RNAcentral lists this small nuclear RNA (159 nucleotides) under Sorex araneus (European shrew). RNAcentral's name for it is "U1 spliceosomal RNA (ENSSARG00000016143.1)". It matches the Rfam family "U1 spliceosomal RNA". From Rfam's summary of the family: U1 is a small nuclear RNA (snRNA) component of the spliceosome (involved in pre-mRNA splicing). Its 5' end forms complementary base pairs with the 5' splice junction, thus defining the 5' donor site of an intron. There are significant differences in sequence and secondary structure between metazoan and yeast U1 snRNAs, the latter being much longer (568 nucleotides as compared to 164 nucleotides in human). Lineage: Eukaryota; Metazoa; Chordata; Mammalia; Eulipotyphla; Soricidae. The record is from RNAcentral.
AUAUUUACCUGGUUGGGGAGGCACCAUGAUCACGAAGGUGGUUUUCCCAGGGUGAGGCUUACCCAUUGUAUUCCAGAUGUGCUGAGCCCUGCGAUUUCCCCAAAUGUGGGAAACUCGACUGCAGAGUUUGUGAUAGUGAGGGGACUGCAUUUGCAACUA